CUUUCCAUGGCAUCAUCACUGUCCUCGACGCAAAUAUGCUGACAAGAAUAUUAACGAGAAGAAGCCCGAGGGAGGAGUUAACGAGGCUGUUAGACAGGUGGCUCUGGCUGACCUGUUGAUUCUGAACAAGACUGACCUGGGUGAGGCACAGCAGCUACAGGUCGUCACCUCCCUCGUCAGGAUGGACCUAGACAAGAUUCUGGACCUACACUCUUAUGACCAGUUUACACAUCAGUGUUAUGAGACGUCUCUACAUUCACGUUUUGUCGAUGGAGGCCCUCAUCUUGACCAGGUAUGUCUGUCUCUCUGUCUACC
Molecule: long non-coding RNA, 315 nt
Organism: Homarus americanus (American lobster)
Lineage: Eukaryota; Metazoa; Arthropoda; Malacostraca; Decapoda; Nephropidae
Exons: 4
Source: RefSeq, a predicted model, not a curated record